Molecule: long non-coding RNA, 1427 nt
Filed under: Polistes fuscatus (common paper wasp)
Lineage: Eukaryota; Metazoa; Arthropoda; Insecta; Hymenoptera; Vespidae
Description: uncharacterized LOC122521782
Source: RNAcentral
UGUUGGAUUUAUUAAUCAUUGUUAUUGCUGUCCUCAGGACAAAUGUACAAUUUUCGUGCGAACGACCUAAUAGUAUUUGGUGAUGGCUAAAAGAUAUCAGAAUUGCGAAGAGCCAAGACAGUACAAAAUGCGAGUGCAUUAAUAUAAUGCGUCAGCCCCACACAACUCCGGUGAGAUAGUAAUUUUUAUUUUGUAGUUAAGGAGGAUGAUCCAGUGACAUUGAUUGGGCACGAUCGAUAUCAACAUUGUUAACAACCAUUCAAUAUGAGAAUGCUUUGAUAAUACCGAUCACAACGUUGGAACUUUAUCCAAAGCCAUCCGGCUACAAUACGUAUCACAGCUUAAGUAGAAUAACUAUCUACACGCCGGAAGAGAAACUAAGCUAUGAAGGUCGGACGAAAAUAUUAAAAAUUGCCUCAAAAAUAUCAGCUGCAACGAUAGCGUCACAGACCAUAGUGCGAAUCAUACCAUGGACAGGCCAUUUGAACGGAUCGGAAAAUAUCGAGUACGCUGAUACAAGGAAACUCUUUUCCAUAGAUUCGCCUGUAUUGCCAGCCGCAUACUCGACAUAUCUAUGGGCAAAGCACUGCAACAUAGAAAAUGUACCGAGUUGGAGAGGUUUUAUGGAGGUUUUUACGACGGAUAACACUAAUGAUGUUUCCAAAGUUGUUUGUCUGCCUCUUAUCAAUCAGCCUUCUUCCAAUAUGAGCACUAUCAACACAGCUUUACACACCGCUCUAGUUGAGACUCGUCGAAUUAAUCAGAAAAUUUGUUUCGAAACAUUCGACUAACUAUUGUACUAUAAAGCUUGUGCGAUUGUUGCUGCAUCACAGCAUAUACUGAAAAACGUUGUGGUUCGCUUGCUCAUGUCCUACUUGGGCUCAAUCGGUCACAUUAUGAAUGGCAGCGGACUUGAAGACAUCUGGGCAGUAACAUACGCUCCAGCAUCAGUGAAAAAGAUGUUGACGGGGAAUGCUUAUGCUCGUGCGAUGCGUGCUCAUAUCCUUGACAUUUAUCAAUCUGGGAGUAAUGAUCUGCCGUGAAAUCGAAGGUGAAAUACGUCAACAAUACGACGAAGACGUUAAAGCUUUUCUCCAAAGUUGGUGUACAGAACCUCCGACUAUCGGCGAUUGUCAAUCGGAUCCUUCGAUUACUUCGAUUACUUCGAUUACUUCGAUUACUUCGAUUACUGCGAACUUGACUACACAAUUGGCAAUUUUAAAAAAUCGAGGACCUACAGCACAACUAUGGGUGCAAUACUUUGAGUGUGCAAAGUAUUAAAGCCGUACAUUUUACAAAACCAAACUUCCAUCCGCAAUAUGACCUUUGUCAUUGAUGGCGGAUUCCUCCUGCAAAACAUCUGCUGGCCGCAUGGAGCAUCCUUUAAAAGAAUUUGCGAAUAAUACUACUCGAAUAUUAUCCAAAAA